GGCACCCUGAUGGAGCACGCCGCGUGAAGGAUGAAGGCCCUAGGGUCGUAAACUUCUUUUGUUAGCGAGGAAUAUGACAGUAACUAACGAAUAAGGGUCGGCUAACUACGUGCCAGCAGCCGCGGUCAUACGUAGGACCCAAGCGUUAUCCGGAGUGACUGGGCGUAAAGAGUUGCGUAGGCGGUCUGUAAAGCGAAUAGUGAAAUCUGAUGGCUCAACCAUCAAUACAUUAUUCGAACUCACAGACUCGAGAAUGGUAGAGGUAGCUGGAAUUUCUAGUGUAGGGGUAAUAUCCGUAGAUAUUAGAAGGAACACCAAUGGCGUAGGCAGGCUACUGGACCAUUUCUGACGCUGAGGCACGAAAGCGUGGGGAGCGAACCGGAUUAGAUACCCGGGUAGUCCACGCCGUAAACGAUGGAUGCUAGCUGUGGGGGGUAUCGACCCCCUCCGUAGCGAAGCUAACGCGUUAAGCAUCCCGCCUGUGGAGUACGGCCGCAAGGCUAAAACAUAAAGGAAUUGACGGGGACCCGCACAAGCGGUGGAGCGUGUUCUUUAAUUCGAUGGUAAACGAAGAACCUUACCAGGGCUUGACAUCCCUUGAAUUUUGUCGAAAGACGAGAGUGCUUUAUUGAACAAGGUGACAGGUGAUGCAUGGCCGUCGUCAGCUCGUGUCGUGAGAUGUUUGGUUAAGUCCUUCAACGAGCGCAACCCUUAUAGUUAGUUGAUUUUUCUAGCUAGACUGCCCCGGUAACGGGGAGGAAGGAGGGGAUGAUGUCAGGUCAGUAUUUCCUUUGCGUCCUGGGCUAGAAACGCGCUACAAUGGCCGGUACAACGGGCAGCUAAGUCGCGAGACGGAGCAAAUCCCAUCAAAGCCGGUCCCAGUUCGGAUAAGAGGCUGAAA
Molecule: ribosomal RNA, 901 nt
Filed under: uncultured Candidatus Saccharibacteria bacterium
Lineage: Bacteria; Candidatus Saccharimonadota
Description: bacterial SSU rRNA
Rfam family: Bacterial small subunit ribosomal RNA
Source: RNAcentral